RNAcentral lists this ribosomal RNA (656 nucleotides) under Enterobacteriaceae bacterium AaD10. Its description in RNAcentral is "bacterial SSU rRNA". It matches the Rfam family "Bacterial small subunit ribosomal RNA", at positions 875 to 1465 of the family's 1533-position model. Lineage: Bacteria; Pseudomonadati; Pseudomonadota; Gammaproteobacteria; Enterobacterales; Enterobacteriaceae. The record is from RNAcentral.
AACCUCCGGCCCCCUGGGGGGGGAGGGUAACAGGCCCCGGCACAGGGUUUAAGAACAUCUCAAUGAAUUGAACGGGGGCCCGCACAAGCGGUGGAGCAUGUGGUUUUAUUCGAUGCGCACGCGAAGAACCUUACCUACUCUCUGACAUACUCAGAGGACUUGGCAGAGAUGCCGUUGGGUGCCCUUUCGGGAGGCUCUUGAGAACAGGGUGCGUGGCAUGGCGUGUGCGUCUAGCGUCUGUGUUGUGAGAAUAGUUGGGUUAAGUCUCCGCGAACGAGCGCGAACCCUUAUCCUUUGUUGCCAGAUGAUUCGGUCGGGAACUCAAAGGAGACUGCCGGUGAUAAACCGGAGGAAGGUGGGGAUGACGUCAAGUCAUCAUGGCCCUUACGAGCUAGGGCUACACACGUGCUACAAUGGCGCAUACAAAGAGUAGCGACCCUGCGAAGGCGAGCGGACCUCAUAAAGUGCGUCUGUAGUCCGGAUUGGAGUCUGCAACUCGCACUCCAUGAAGCUCGGAAUCGCUAGUAAUCGUAGAUCAGCAAUGCUACGGUGAAUACGUUCCCGGGCCUUGUACACACCGCCCGUCACACCAAUGGGAGUGGGUAGCACACAAGAAGUAGGUAGCUUAACCAUUCGGGGGGGCGCCUGUACCACUU